UACGAAGGGGGCUAGCGUUGUUCGGAAUCACUGGGCGUAAAGCGCACGUAGGCGGAUCUUUAAGUCAGAGGUGAAAUCCCAAGGCUCAACCUUGGAACUGCCUUUGAUACUGGGGAUCUCGAGUCCGGAGAGGUGAGUGGAACUGCGAGUGUAGAGGUGAAAUUCGUAGAUAUUCGCAAGAACACCAGUGGCGAAGGCGGACUCACUGGCCGGUACUGACGCUGAGGUGCGAAAGCGUGGGGAGCAA
RNAcentral lists this ribosomal RNA (247 nucleotides) under uncultured bacterium. Its description in RNAcentral is "partial 16S ribosomal RNA". It matches the Rfam family "Bacterial small subunit ribosomal RNA", at positions 524 to 771 of the family's 1533-position model. The record is from RNAcentral.